This 495-nucleotide ribosomal RNA is filed under the name uncultured bacterium. RNAcentral's name for it is "partial 16S ribosomal RNA". It matches the Rfam family "Bacterial small subunit ribosomal RNA", at positions 28 to 505 of the family's 1533-position model. The record is from RNAcentral.
GAUGAACGCUGGCGGCGUGCCUAAUACAUGCAAGUCGAGCGAACAGACGAGGAGCUUGCUCCUCUGACGUUAGCGGCGGACGGGUGAGUAACACGUGGAUAACCUACCUAUAAGACUGGGAUAACUUCGGGAAACCGGAGCUAAUACCGGAUAAUAUAUUGAACCGCAUGGUUCAAUAGUGAAAGACGGUUUUGCUGUCACUUAUAGAUGGAUCCGCGCCGCAUUAGCUAGUUGGUAAGGUAACGGCUUACCAAGGCAACGAUGCGUAGCCGACCUGAGAGGGUGAUCGGCCACACUGGAACUGAGACACGGUCCAGACUCCUACGGGAGGCAGCAGUAGGGAAUCGUCCGCAAUGGGCGAAAGCCUGACGGAGCAACGCCGCGUGAGUGAUGAAGUUCUUCGGAUCGUAAAACUCUGUUAUUAGGGAAGAACAAAUGUGUAAGUAACUAUGCACGUCUUGACGGUACCUAAUCAGAAAGCCACGGCUAACUACG